AUGUUGACAGUGGCACCAGGACCCUGACCUCUAGGGAUGCCCCCAUGCCCUCAUCAUCAACCACCAGUCCACUGUGCUGUCUUGGCAUGCUGCUAUUAAUGCAGCCUGACAAUUUCAGGGCACAUCCCAGACUGUGAGUAUGCUGUCGCCUCACUGGCCCAGAGGAAACGACAGCAGUAUGCCAAAACCAAAAAGCAGGGGAGUACCACCAGCAGCAGACCACUGAGAUCACUUUCCUGCCUGAACUUCAGUAACCCUGUACACCGAGCGUGCAUUAACCUGGAGUGGAGCACGCAAUGAAUCUUGGGAUAGUCUCGGCUAUGAAGGAUUCAUUUGUUCUGCAGAGAAAUAAGGACUCAUUUUGAAGCUUCGGUUGCAUCUGAAAUUACUAAAAUGCUGCCUUCGGAGACAGCUGUCAAAGGCAUGAAGGAAUCAAGCAAGCUUUUCGAGAGGUGUUUUGACAUCAGAGGCAUUGUACAAGCGAAGCCAAAAUCAAGAAUAGCGCCUGACAAGAGGAUCCACAUCGUCUCGCAGCACAAAGUAUGACAACGUAAGGAAUACAAAGAGACGGAAUAUAAAGACUGAUAGUAAGUGCUGUGAUUUUCAGGAUUUUUUUUAUUUUAGUAUAAGUGAGUGGGGCUGCUUUAAACGCACGAGUCAUUCGCUCAUCUC
Misgurnus anguillicaudatus (oriental weatherfish) is the source of this 672-nucleotide long non-coding RNA. RefSeq lists it as uncharacterized. The record is from RefSeq and is a predicted model, not a curated record. Lineage: Eukaryota; Metazoa; Chordata; Actinopteri; Cypriniformes; Cobitidae.